Non-coding RNA from Caenorhabditis elegans, 106 nucleotides. The record is from Ensembl. NCBI's taxonomy places the organism in Eukaryota, Metazoa, Nematoda, Chromadorea, Rhabditida, Rhabditidae.
CUCAGGAUUAGGCUUAGGCUCAGGCUCAGGCCUAGGAUCAGGCUCAGGCCUAGGCUCAGGCUUAGGCUUAGGCUAAGGCUUAGGCUUAGGCUUAACCUUAGGCUUA